RNAcentral lists this ribosomal RNA (380 nucleotides) under uncultured eukaryote. RNAcentral's name for it is "partial 18S ribosomal RNA". It matches the Rfam family "Eukaryotic small subunit ribosomal RNA", at positions 592 to 976 of the family's 1831-position model. The record is from RNAcentral.
CAAUAGCGUAUAUUAAAGUUGUUGCAGUUAAAAAGCUCGUAGUUGGAUUUCUGCUGAGGACGAUCGGUCCGCCCACUGGGUGAGUAUCUGGCUCGGCCUUGGCAUCUUCUUGGAGAACGUUGCUGCACUUGACUGUGUGGCGCGGUAUCCAGGACUUUUACUUUGAGGAAAUUAGAGUGUUUCAAGCAGGCGCACGCCUUGAAUACAUUAGCAUGGAAUAAUGAGAUAGGACCUUGGUUCUAUUUUGUUGGUUUCUAGAGCUGAGGUAAUGAUUAAUAGGGAUAGUUGGGGGCAUUCGUAUUUAACUGUCAGAGGUGAGAUUCUUGGAUUUGUUAAAGACGGACUACUGCGAAAGCAUUUGCCAAGGAUGUUUUCAUUGA